RNAcentral lists this ribosomal RNA (440 nucleotides) under uncultured bacterium. RNAcentral describes it as "partial 16S ribosomal RNA". It matches the Rfam family "Bacterial small subunit ribosomal RNA", at positions 338 to 795 of the family's 1533-position model. The record is from RNAcentral.
CCUACGGGUGGCAGCAGUGGGGAAUAUUGCACAAUGGGGGAAACCCUGAUGCAGCGACGCCGCGUGAGUGAAGAAGUAUUUCGGUACGUAAAGCUCUAUCAGCAGGGAAGAAAAUGACGGUAGCUGACUAAGAAGCCCCGGCUAACUACGUGCCAGCAGCCGCGGUAAUACGCAGGGGGCAAGCGUUCUCCGGAUUUACUGGGGGUAAAGGGAGCGUAGACGGCAGGGCAAGUCUGGGGUGAAAUCUCAUGGCUUAACCAUGGAACUGCUUUGGACACUGUCCAGCUAGAGUGCAGGAGAGGUGAGCGGAAUUCCUGGUGUAGGGGUGAAAUGCGUAGAUAUUUGGAGGAACACCAGUGGCGAAGGCGACUUACUGGACUGUAACUGACGUUGAGGCGCGAAAGCGUGGGGAGCAAACAGGAUUAGAUACCCGAGUAGUC